UGUUGUUAUUGACUUUGCAUAAUGGCGUACGUUUGGAGACGUAUCAUUAAUAAUUGUGUUUUAUUUCCAUUUUCGCGUUUACGUAAAAGCCAUCAGGUGAAAACGAACGUGAAUUUGGCUUCUGUUUAUUCCGAAGGUGCCGUAGGAAUAAUUGCAAACAUGCAAUGCGAUGCGUUUAAUGCAGCAAUAAGUGUAUAAUUUAUUGCAAGUCACCAACGAGAAAUUAAAAAUGGCCGAUAAACUGUAUAGCCCAGAAAAAAUAAAAUAAAGUAGGCAGUUCUUUCUCGGCUGUUCAACGUUGGACUUACUGUCUUCUGCAGUUUUUGCUGUUGUCGUGAAAUGCCUUUCUUAGGGGACGAUGGGGAUCUCCAAUUCAUUUAGGGUGCCUAAUUGGUUAAAUCAAAAAGGAGGAGGACAAUCAACAAGAAGGAUACACAUAGGAAUACAUCUCGUUCUGCCUCUGCUAAACGAUCUUUCCAUUAGCAGUUGAACCUACAGAGACAGCGUAAUUUCUUCUGAAGUUUUAAGGUGUCUAGAGGUCUCAUCUUGGAGGAACAUUAGAAGCACUCCAGUUGUCAUUAAAUAAUGGAGCAUAGGUUGUGUCAGUCCUCCAUUGCUUUAGAAGGCAGUUGUACCUAUGGCCCUGAAGAGAGUAUGAAAAUGCAAUUUCUUCAUUAGGAAUGGAGGCACUGUGCUGUUGUUGCAGAAAGGAUUUACAACAAUGAACUGAUAUGGCAGAUCCAUAACAGCAUAAUUAAUGUGGAACUAAUUUUAUCAGUGUGAAUAUCACCUAUUUACUUGCUUUAAAAGGGGUAAUUAAUUUGUUUUUCUUGCCCAUUUCUAUAGAUUGCCCAUUAAAUGAGAAGGAAUUGCAGUUAAUUUUGGUGCUACUGAAACAACCAAUUCUUUUGAUAUCUUCACCUUGCAACAUUUUGCAGUUAAUUUUGGCCCUGAGAAUAGGAUGCAAUUGAAAUUAUUUAGAAGUUACUGAAAGGACAAAUUGUCAGCUGUGACAUCUCUUCCAGAUUUUGUUUGGUCUUCGUACUAGUAGAUUUUAGAACGCUACUUUCUACAGUUAAUUAAGAUUGUUCAACAAGUGAGAGGGAGUUGAAGUUUAUUUUGGUCGUACUGAAACAACCAUUGUCUACAUGGGUGUGGUCUUUGGUGAACUAUAUUCUUUGAUUUGCGCUGAAAUAAGGAAUUUUCUGCUUUGGCAUUAUUCCUGGAUUUGGUUUGCUUUUCACAUCUGCAAACUAUGGAACAUUACAGUUAAUUAAGGUGAGAGAAUACUUGAUAUAA
Agrilus planipennis (emerald ash borer) is the source of this 1299-nucleotide long non-coding RNA. RefSeq lists it as uncharacterized. Lineage: Eukaryota; Metazoa; Arthropoda; Insecta; Coleoptera; Buprestidae. The record is from RefSeq and is a predicted model, not a curated record. The transcript is spliced from 7 exons.